AGCGAACGCUGGCGGCAGGCUUAACACAUGCAAGUCGAGCGGGCCCUUCGGGGUCAGCGGCAGACGGGUGAGUAACACGUGGGAACGUACCCUUUGGUUCGGAAUAACGCUGGGAAACUAGCGCUAAUACCGGAUACGCCCUUUUGGGGAAAGGCUUGCUGCCGGAGGAUCGGCCCGCGUCUGAUUAGCUAGUUGGUGGGGUAAUGGCCUACCAAGGCGACGAUCAGUAGCUGGUCUGAGAGGAUGAUCAGCCACACUGGGACUGAGACACGGCCCAGACUCCUACGGGAGGCAGCAGUGGGGAAUAUUGGACAAUGGGCGCAAGCCUGAUCCAGCCAUGCCGCGUGAGUGAUGAAGGCCUUAGGGUUGUAAAGCUCUUUUGUCCGGGACGAUAAUGACGGUACCGGAAGAAUAAGCCCCGGCUAACUUCGUG
RNAcentral lists this ribosomal RNA (433 nucleotides) under uncultured bacterium. RNAcentral's name for it is "partial 16S ribosomal RNA". It matches the Rfam family "Bacterial small subunit ribosomal RNA", at positions 29 to 507 of the family's 1533-position model. The record is from RNAcentral.